RNAcentral lists this non-coding RNA (100 nucleotides) under Pseudooceanicola atlanticus. RNAcentral's name for it is "TPP sequence". It matches the Rfam family "TPP riboswitch aptamer (THI element)". Rfam says of the family: Vitamin B(1) in its active form thiamin pyrophosphate (TPP) is an essential coenzyme that is synthesised by coupling of pyrimidine and thiazole moieties in bacteria. Lineage: Bacteria; Pseudomonadati; Pseudomonadota; Alphaproteobacteria; Rhodobacterales; Paracoccaceae. The record is from Rfam by way of RNAcentral.
UUGCCUACCUCGGGGUGCCCUUUGGGCUGAGAUGCAAUCCUGCGAACCCGUUGAACCUGAACCGGUUAAUUCCGGCGGAGGGAAGGUGACGCGGCGCAGA